GCCUGGCUGGCUCAGUUGGUAGAGCAUGUGACUUGACCUCAGGGUUGUGAGUUCAAGCCCCACAUUGGGCA
RNAcentral lists this transfer RNA (71 nucleotides) under Felis catus (domestic cat). It matches the Rfam family "tRNA". Rfam says of the family: Transfer RNA (tRNA) molecules are approximately 80 nucleotides in length. RNAcentral also lists the same sequence under 3 other names. The record is from Rfam by way of RNAcentral. Lineage: Eukaryota; Metazoa; Chordata; Mammalia; Carnivora; Felidae.